This 1581-nucleotide ribosomal RNA is filed under the name human vaginal metagenome. Its description in RNAcentral is "bacterial LSU rRNA". It matches the Rfam family "Bacterial large subunit ribosomal RNA", at positions 987 to 2556 of the family's 2925-position model. The record is from RNAcentral.
GACUACGACUUAUAAGGGCCGUAGUCAAAAGGGAAACAGCCCAGACCAUCAGCUAAGGUCCCCAAUGCCGUGCUAAGUGGAGAAGGAUGUGGCAUUUCAUAAACAACCAGGAUGUUGGCUCAGAAGCAGCCACCAUUUAAAGAGUGCGUAAUAGCUCACUGGUCGAGAGACGCUGCGCCGAAAAUGUCCGGGGCUCAAGCACGGAACCGAAGCUAUGGCAGACGCAAGUCUGGGUAGGGGAGCGUUCUUAUGAGGAAGAAGCAUGACCGUAAGGACAUGUGGACACAUAAGAAGUGAGAAUGCCGGUAUGAGUAUCGAAAAGAAAGGUGAGAAUCCUUUCCACCGAAAGCCCGAGGGUUCCUGAGCAACGAUCGUCGACUCAGGGUAAGUCGGGACCUAAGCCGAGGCGAAAAGCAUAGGCGAUGGACAACAGGUUGAAAUUCCUGUACCGGAUAAAGUCGUUACGAGCAAUGGAGUGACGCAGGAGGGUACAUGAUCGCGCGACUGGAAGAGCGCGUCCAAGUGAGUAUGUAGAUACAGAGGCAAAUCCCUGUAUCUGAAAGCAGAGACAUGAUGGGGAGUUAAAGGAAACUUUGACGAACUGAUGGAUCCCACACUGCCAAGAAAAACUUCUAGCCAGACAAUAUCCGCCCGUACCGUAAACCGACACAGGUAGGCGGGGAGAGAAUCCUAAGGUGCGCGGGAAAACCCUCGUUAAGGAACUCGGCAAAUUGCAUCCGUAACUUCGGGAGAAGGAUGACCCUGAGUAAAAGAAGAGCAGAAACGCUUAGAGGAGAAAAGGGUGGCAGAAAAGAGGCCCAAGCAACUGUUUACCAAAAACACAGGUGCCUGCGAAAGCGAAAGCUGAAGUAUAGGUGCUGACGCCUGCCCGGUGCCGGAAGGUUAAGGAGAGAGGUCAGCUAAGGCGAAGCUUCGAACUGAAGCCCCGGUGAACGGCGGCCGUAACUAUAACGGUCCUAAGGUAGCGAAAUUCCUUGUCGGGUAAGUUCCGACCCGCAUGAAAGGCGUAAUGAUUUGGGCACUGUCUCAACGAGGGGCCCGGUGAAAUUGAAAUACCUGUGAAGAUGCAGGUUACCCGCGACUGGACAGAAAGACCCCAUGGAGCUUCACUGCAGCUUGAGAUUGAAUCCCGGUGACAGACGCACAGGAUAGGUGGGAGACUUUGAAGUACCUUUUUCGGAAGAUACAGAGUCGAUGUUGGGAUACCACCCUUCUGUUGCUGGGCUUCUAACGCAAGGAGUAACGACCCUGCGGACCCUCUCAGGUAGGCGGUUUGACUGGGGCGGUCGCCUCCGAAAGAGUAACGGAGGCGCCCAAAGGUUCCCUCAGGCCGGACAGAAACCGGCCAAAGAGUGCAAAGGCAGAAGGGAGCUUGACUGCGAGACCCACAAGUCGAGCAGAGACGAAAGUCGGGCUUAGUGAUCCGGUGGUACUGAGUGGAAAGGCCAUCGCUCAACGGAUAAAAGCUACCCUGGGGAUAACAGGCUAAUCCCUCCCACGAGUUCAUAACGACGGGGAGGUUUGGCACCUCGAUGUCGGCUCAUCACAUCCUGGGGCUGG